GUUGACCUGCCGGACCUGACUGCUAUCGGAUUGGUACUAAGCCAUGCGAGUCGUUGUAGCAAUACAAGGCGGACUGCUCAGUAACACGUAGUUAACUUAACCUAUGGAUGGGAAUAACCUCGGGAAACUGAGAAUAAUACCCAAUGGGCCACAGUGCCUGGAAUGGCCUGUGGUUGAAAUGAUUUAUCGCCGUAGGAUAGGACUGCGGCCUAUCAGCUUGUUGGUGAGGUAAUGGCCCACCAAGGCUAUAACAGGUACGGGCUCUGAGAGGAGGGGCCCGGAGAUGGGUACUGAGACACGGACCCAGGCCCUAUGGGGCGCAGCAGGCGAGAAACCUUUGCAAUGUGCGAAAGCACGACAAGGUUAAUCCGAGUGUCUCCUGCUAAAGGAGUCUUUUGUCAGUUGUAGAAUCACUGGUGAAUAAGGGGUGGGCAAGUUCUGGUGUCAGCCGCCGCGGUAAAACCAGCACCUCGAGUGGUCAGGAGGUUUAUUGGGCCUAAAGCAUCCGUAGCCGGUUGCAUAAGUUUUCGGUUAAAUCUAUGCGCUUAACGUAUAGGCCGCCGAAAAUACUGUGCAGCUAGGGAGUGGGAGAGGUACACGGUACUCGAUAGGAAGGGGUAAAUCCUUUGAUCUAUUGAAGACCCCU
Molecule: ribosomal RNA, 646 nt
Filed under: uncultured archaeon
Lineage: Archaea
Description: bacterial SSU rRNA
Rfam family: Archaeal small subunit ribosomal RNA
Source: RNAcentral